AUGGAACAAGACCAGAUGCUGCAGGAGUGGGAAUGGAUAGUCAAACAUAUCCGGGCACGGGGAGGAAGAUGCUGUACAGGAUGUCCCUCCCCAGGGAAUAUAGUCAGCACCAUUCUGAUUUUCCUUCUGGAACCGCAUCGCCUGCUGGGUAAUCAGUUUGUGCGCGCUGCAAGGGAAGACCUCAGCAAAAGGAGUCCAGUGCAGCUAAGGUGCCAGGGCCAUGAAACAGCAGAACACCACUGCGCUCAGUGUCACAUUUUCAGUGAUCAUCUCUGUUUUGUUAUGCAGUGUGACCGGCUGCCUAAUGUUCCUACUGCCAUGCCUCCCUUGCCAUGGUGGAUUAUACUGGAAAACACAAAGAUAGUAACUCAGUGA
RNAcentral lists this long non-coding RNA (375 nucleotides) under Mus musculus (house mouse). Its description in RNAcentral is "RIKEN cDNA 4930555F03 gene (ENSMUSG00000031559.17)". Lineage: Eukaryota; Metazoa; Chordata; Mammalia; Rodentia; Muridae. The record is from RNAcentral.